AUGGGGUCACAGAGCCAGACACCACUGAGGCAACUGCUCAUUUCCAAGCAACUCACUACAGCUCUCAGGAGGAGGAGGGAGGAAGAUGGAGUAAUGGGGAGGGGACCCCAGGGGGGUUGGGAGAGGGCAGAGACUGAGCAGAGGGGAGGGCUGAGGUCCAACCCAGUGGCGGCCGCCCUUUCCCCCUGUGAUGACCGCACCCAGUAUGGCCCUCUUCACGCCUCCCCUGCAAGGAGCACCUGCAGGAGCUGGGCCCAGUGGGUGAACACCGGCCCCCACUCUUGUGCCGAUCAGAGUUCUGUCCCUGCAGGAGUGCCUCGUGGGUGCCACAGGGGGUCCCGCAAGUCGCUCUGCAGGGCGCUAUCUCUGGUUCCCCGUGUCCUCCUCACCGAGAUCCCCAUCCUGGCCGGUGUCCAGCUCUGGACCUCAGGUCAGCCUGCAGUCAGCACUGAGCCCAUAGGGCAGCUAAAGAGGCCGUGCAGCCUGGGGAGGGACAGGCCCCCACCUUGUUCUGAGCCUUCCCUGGGACCCGUGCCCCCUGCCCGCUGGGUCAGAGCCUUUUGGAGGUGUGGGCAGCACCCCUCCCCGAGUACGUGCACUCAGACAUGGCCUGCUACAAGGGAUGCUAGGAAUCAGAGUCUUGGGUCUCAGGAGGCCAUGCGGACUGGGCCAAGGCUGGAAGCCAAGCUGGCAAGGGGGUCCUUGGAAGGAGAAGCAGCUGACCCUGGAGGAGGGACAGGACAGACACAGCUGUGGCCAAGGCUGCAGGGGAGGGGCCGUGAGAGCGACAGGGCUCAGGCUCAGGAGGACGAGGUCCAGCAGAUUCCAUUUGUCCCUGAAUGCCAGGCACCACCUCCUCAUUGUCUCCCACCCCUCCCCACUUGGCCAGGCCCAGGGUCACUGCAGACCGCCCACCCUACAAGGCCUGGUGGGGAGGCCAGCCCCUACGCUGACUUAGGUGGAAACGCCAGCACUGGAAUUUUCACUCCAGAUGCCAAAUCCAAGAGGCUUCACAGCCACACUUCAGUUUUUUAA
Bos grunniens (domestic yak) is the source of this 1035-nucleotide long non-coding RNA. The record is from Ensembl. NCBI's taxonomy places the organism in Eukaryota, Metazoa, Chordata, Mammalia, Artiodactyla, Bovidae.